UACGUAGGGGGCAAGCGUUAUCCGGAAUUACUGGGUGUAAAGGGAGCGUAGACGGUAAUGUAAGUCUGGAGUGAAAGGCGGGGGCCCAACCCCCGGACUGCUCUGGAAACUAUGCUACUAGAGUGCAGGAGAGGUAAGCGGAAUUCCUAGUGUAGCGGUGAAAUGCGUAGAUAUUAGGAGGAACACCAGUGGCGAAGGCGGCUUACUGGACUGUAACUGACGUUGAGGCUCGAAAGCGUGGGGAGCAAACAGG
This 253-nucleotide ribosomal RNA is filed under the name uncultured bacterium. RNAcentral describes it as "partial 16S ribosomal RNA". It matches the Rfam family "Bacterial small subunit ribosomal RNA", at positions 524 to 776 of the family's 1533-position model. The record is from RNAcentral.